Oncorhynchus keta (chum salmon) is the source of this 1037-nucleotide long non-coding RNA. RefSeq lists it as uncharacterized. The transcript is spliced from 5 exons. NCBI's taxonomy places the organism in Eukaryota, Metazoa, Chordata, Actinopteri, Salmoniformes, Salmonidae. The record is from RefSeq and is a predicted model, not a curated record.
UGACAGACUAACCCAGGUUUAUCCCCACAGAGACUGGUACAGGAUGACAGACUAACCCAGGUUUAUCCCCACACAGACUGGUACAGGUAUGGAUGACAGACUAACCCAGGUUUAUCCCCACACAGACUGGUACAGGAUGACAGACUAACCCAGGUUUAUCCCCACACAGACUGGUACAGGAUGACAGACUAACCCAGGUUUAUCCCCACACAGACUGGUACAGGAUGACAGACUAACCCAGGUUUAUCCCCACACAGACUGGUACAGGUAUGGAUGACAGACUAACCCAGGUUUAUCCCCACACAGACUGGUACAGGUAUGGAUGACAGACUAACCCAGGUUUAUCCCCACACAGACUGGUACAGGAUGACAGACUAACCCAGGUUUAUCCCCACACAGACUGGUACAGGUAUGGAUGACAGACUAACCCAGGUUUAUCCCCACACAGACUGGUACAGGAUGACAGACUAACCCAGGUUUAUCCCCACACAGACUGGUACAGGAUGACAGACUAACCCAGGUUUAUCCCCACACAGACUGGUACAGGAUGACAGACUAACCCAGGUUUAUCCCCACACAGACAGGUAUGGAUGACAGACUAACCCAGGUUUAUCCCCACACAGACUGGUACAGGAUGACAGACUAACCCAGGUUUAUCCCCACACAGACUGGUACAGGAUGACAGACUAACCCAGGUUUAUCCCCACACAGACUGGUACAGGUAUGGAUGACAGACUAACCCAGGUUUAUCCCCACACAGACUGGUACAGGUAUGGAUGACAGACUAACCCAGGUUUAUCCCCACAGAGACUGGUACAGGAUGACAGACUAACCCAGGUUUAUCCCCACACAGACUGGUACAGGUAUGGAUGACAGACUAACCCAGGUUUAUCCCCACACAGACUGGUACAGGAUGACAGACUAACCCAGGUUUAUCCCCACACAGACUGGUACAGGAUGACAGACUAACCCAGGUUUAUCCCCACACAGACUGGUACAGGUAUGGAUGACAGACUAACCCAGGUUUAUCCCCACAC